CGGGGGGACCUUCGGGCCUCGCGCUAUAGGGUUUGGCCGAUGGCUGAUUAGCUAGUUGGUGGGGUAAAAGCCUACCAAGGCGACGAUCAGUAGCUGGUCUGAGAGGACGACCAGCCACACUGGGACUGAGACACGGCCCAGACUCCUACGGGAGGCAGCAGUGGGGAAUUUUGGACAAUGGGCGAAAGCCUGAUCCAGCAAUGCCGCGUGUGUGAAGAAGGCCUUCGGGUUGUAAAGCACUUUUGUCCGGAAAGAAAUCCUUGGCUCUAAUACAGUCGGGGGAUGACGGUACCGGAAGAAUAAGCACCGGCUAACUACGUGCCAGCAGCCGCGGUAAUACGUAGGGUGCAAGCGUUAAUCGGAAUUACUGGGCGUAAAGCGUGCGCAGGCGGUUUGCUAAGACCGAUGUGAAAUCCCCGGGCUCAACCUGGGAACUGCAUUGGUGACUGGCAGGCUAGAGUAUGGCAGAGGGGGGUAGAAUUCCACGUGUAGCAGUGAAAUGCGUAGAGAUGUGGAGGAAUACCGAUGGCGAAGGCAGCCCCCCUGGGCCAAUACUGACGCUCAUGCACGAAAGCGUGGGGA
Molecule: ribosomal RNA, 582 nt
Filed under: Burkholderia sp. KS38P4
Lineage: Bacteria; Pseudomonadati; Pseudomonadota; Betaproteobacteria; Burkholderiales; Burkholderiaceae
Description: bacterial SSU rRNA
Rfam family: Bacterial small subunit ribosomal RNA
Source: RNAcentral